Molecule: ribosomal RNA, 441 nt
Filed under: uncultured bacterium
Lineage: Bacteria
Description: partial 16S ribosomal RNA
Rfam family: Bacterial small subunit ribosomal RNA
Source: RNAcentral
CCUACGGGUGGCAGCAGUGGGGAAUAUUGGGCAAUGGGCGCAAGCCUGACCCAGCGACGCCGCGUGAGGGAAGACGGUCUUCGGAUUGUAAACCUCUUUCAGCAGGGAAGACAAAAGGACGGUACUUGAAGAAAAAGCAUCGGCUAACUCCGUGCCAGCAGCCGCGGUAAUACGGAGGAUGCGAGCGUUAUCCGGAUUUAUUGGGUUUAAAGGGUGCGUAGGCGGACUGUUAAGUCAGCGGUAAAAGCCCGGGGCUCAACCCCGGCGAGCCGUUGAAACUGGCUGUCUUGAGAUGUCGAGAGGUAGGCGGAAUGCGCAGUGUAGCGGUGAAAUGCUUAGAUAUUGCGCAGAACUCCGAUUGCGAAGGCAGCAUACCGGCGGCGAUCUGACGCUGAGGCACGAAAGCGUGGGUAUCGAACAGGAUUAGAUACCCGGGUAGUC